RNAcentral lists this ribosomal RNA (428 nucleotides) under uncultured bacterium. RNAcentral describes it as "bacterial SSU rRNA". It matches the Rfam family "Bacterial small subunit ribosomal RNA", at positions 355 to 796 of the family's 1533-position model. The record is from RNAcentral.
UCGAGAAUCUUCCGCAAUGGACGAAAGUCUGACGGAGCGACGCCGCGUGAUUGAUGAAGCUUUUCGGAGUGUAAAGAUCUUUUAUGAGGGAAGAAGUUUAUUGACGGUACCUCAUGAAUAAGGGGCUCCUAAUCUCGUGCCAGCAGGAGCGGUAAUACGAGAGCCCCGAGCGUUAUCCGGAAUUAUUGGGCGUAAAGGGUGCGUAGGUGGUUGUGUUAGUCGUUUGUCAAAUCUCUGGGCUUAACCCAGAAACCGCGAACGAAACGGCACAACUUGAGAGUGUGAGGGGUGAAUGGAACUCAUGGUGUAGGGGUGAAAUCCGUUGAUAUCAUGGGGAACACCAAAAGCGAAGGCAAUUCACUGGCACAUAUCUGACACUCAAGCACGAAAGCGUGGGUAGCGAAUGGGAUUAGAUACCCCCGUAGUCC